Non-coding RNA from Schistosoma haematobium, 48 nucleotides. Lineage: Eukaryota; Metazoa; Platyhelminthes; Trematoda; Strigeidida; Schistosomatidae. The record is from Rfam.
AUGUAACUGACGAGUCCCAAAUAGGAUGAAACAUGUGUCAAACUGGAU